This 1714-nucleotide long non-coding RNA is filed under the name Homo sapiens (human). Its description in RNAcentral is "HSALNT0379105". Lineage: Eukaryota; Metazoa; Chordata; Mammalia; Primates; Hominidae. The record is from RNAcentral.
AGGUGCCUUGGAGCCGCUGCUCUCGCCUCCCUUCUCCACCUAGCGGCGGUGUUUCACACCCCGGAGUGGCUUUUUGGGGAUAAAGGCACAAAUCUUUGCCAGACCUCCCGCCAGGCCCCCUGGCCUGCCACGUGCUCCUUGCCGGCCUAGACUCACCCAGGCUGUGCCCUCUGCUCAGAACGACCUUUCCCCCCUUCCUCUCCCCCUCGCUUGCUCCGACUGUUCUUUGCAAUCCCGGCUGGGGUUGGGUUAAGGGCCUUCUGGGGCUUCUUCAUACCCUGUGCAUCUUCCUCCUACUGGCACCGACCACCCCACACUGGGCUGCCAUCUGCUUGUCUACACCCACUGACUUUUCAUCUCUGUAUCUCCCCAGUAAGCAGGAGUGGCUCACAGAAGGCACGUUAAUACCUGUGUGUUAAUAUAAACCAAGGAGCGGGACGAUAGCUAGGAAGUAACAUCCCUGGGCAUCAUCUGAGUACCAGGCCCCCUGCCAGGUACUUUAGAGGCUACUUGAUGUUCAGGCCCAUGGCAGCCCUGGGAGGGAGGCACAAAGGCUCUUUUGUUCCUGGGGAGUCAGUGGAGGCCCCUAGAGGCUGAAUGACUGUCUGGGUCCCCCAGCUGGACUGUUUGGGGACAGGCCUGGGGAGCUGAGGGCACCCUCAUACCAGGCAGCCUUGCGCCUGAAGCUCUGCUGGUGAAAACUGAUGGGCAGGGCCCUGGAAGGGAGAGUCAGCGCCUGCGGGGGCGGGGGUGGGGGUGGGGGUGGGAAGGCAAGCGGAGGGGAAAGGUGAGCAUAGACAGGCAUUUGUGAUGGCCACAGGCCUUCACUGCUACCCUGACAUCAGGGCCAAUGGCAACCUGCAAGGCCCUUCAAAGCCCUGCUUCCACCUCUGCCCAUCUCUGGCUGCAACCUCCUGGUUCUCCCACCCUGUGCUCUAUUCUCCAGCUACACUGACCCAUGUCAGCUCCCAGGCCAUGCAUCUGGGCCUUUCACAUGCUGCUCUCUCCAGGGUCCAUCCAGCCCCACCUCCACCACAUUGCCAAGACCAGGCCUUACUUUCCAGACUCCAUGUACUUCUCAGCACUGGCCCCACCAUUUGUGCUGAGGAUCAUCAGCUACUGAGACCUGAAUUCAACCCCAGGCCCUGGGUUUGAAUUCUGACACAUUUGUGGCUGACCUUGGAGAACAGCUCAUCCAUGGGCUCGCAAAACAAUGCCGCUGACUUAGACAACACUCUACUGAUUUGCUGGCACUGGGCUGGGGCUUUGGUGGACACUGAAUCCCCACAAACCAGCCUGCAAGGUCAGACAUGUGAAAAGUCCUUUCUGUUUCAUCAAGGCUCAUCAGGUGAACGUCUCCAACAGGCUCUCACUUCAGCAACAUUUCAUAGCAGAAGGUGAUCUGUCUUCAAGGUUGGAGGCUGGUCCCAUAGACCCCAACUCCAGCAUCAGGCCAAGGGCUGGGCAAGGCUGCAGGGUUGUGGCUAUCCCAAAUAUGAACUCAGACACACUUAGUUCUGAAUCCUGUGUUACCUUGGGCGAAUUACUUCACCUCUUUGAUCCUUCAUUUUCUUCCUUUUUUCUUUUUUGCUUUAGCUUUUCUUUUCAAUAAAAUUAAUAACACGUACAUAUUUUUAACAGACAAAUAGAACUACAAGGCUUACAAUGAAAAAAGGCAGUCCCUUGCCUUGCUUUGCCCACCCUGGGUCCUCCC